Molecule: long non-coding RNA, 5809 nt
Filed under: Prunus persica (peach)
Lineage: Eukaryota; Viridiplantae; Streptophyta; Magnoliopsida; Rosales; Rosaceae
Description: long non-coding RNA (PPER_LNC002454)
Source: RNAcentral
UAAGAAUGACCUAUAAACAAUCUAAAACAGCUAAACUCCCAGACGAAAAUAAAUAAUAAUUUCAUCUUUCCUUGACAGAAGGGAUGUUGAUGAAUGAAUUUUUGAAACAAUGUGUACGGCUAUGAGUUGGGGACAAAGGUGCCAACAUAACCAACCCCCGCAAUGAAGAAUGCAACAGAUUGGAUGAAUAGGUAGAUAAAGUAUCCGUUCUUUCCAAAGGCAAGGUCAUAGCAGCCGCAGAAGAAGAGGUAGAAUCCAACAAUGAGCUCAAGCACAUGUAGUCUGUUUAUUAGUAAUCACAAGAAAAGAAAAUGUAAACUUCAUAUUCUUACAUUUGACAAGAUCUUGUGGCAUCAAAUGCUAUCAUAACAAAUUGAAAAGUUAUUCAUUUUAAAGGAAUUCUAUCAACAGAACAGAAACCAAAUGCAUAGAUUUAUACCUUUCUCCAAUUCUUAAUCGAGGUUUCCUGGGAGCUUUUGCACCUAAUUUUUUCUUGAGAGCAUCUCCCAGUUUCUCAGUGACGACCCAUUCAUUUACUCUCCCUGCUUCAAAAAGACCUAUAAAUGUCGCCUUAGUCCGGUGCAGAGACAUGACAUUCUCAAAGAGGAUCCAGAAAAUCAAUAGGUGGAGUGAUCUGUAAAUAUGACCUCGAAAGCAUUAGCAAUGAAUAAGUAAAUACAAAGGAAAACAUUUGCAUAUCUGUCACUGCAGAGCUAGAAGUUCUGCAGGUUUGCUAAAGUUUAUAACAGGUUGAAACAACAACGUUACCCACAGUAAACCCAAACCCCAAGAAAACACUGCGUUUUGGGUUGAAAAGCUAAAUAGCUUGCCAUUAAUAAUGCGACGAACCACGAGAAAAAAGAAAACUGGAUCACUAAAAAAGGAAAAGAACAAAGGGGAGAGUAGGAGACCUAGGAGUUCCAACAGCAUUGAGGAGAGUAAUGGUAGAAGGAAUGUAAACAGCACCCCAGAUGGGAACUUGAACUUCAGGAACCAAAACCGUUGCUGGUAAAAUGACACAGUAGAAGACAAAUGUGACGAUAUGUGCUACAAUUUUGCGAACAAAGAAAAAGCUGUAGAUCACAUGAAACUUCUUCAAUGGGGACACCUUCUGCAAUAUAUUGUAAAGUAACAGUGAGUAUGAAGGAAUAAGCUUAGGCAAAAACUAAAACAGAUAUGGUAGGGAAAUACCUUGUUUCUCACAAUCUCCAUUACCAUCUUUCUAAAGAGAUUAGCAGGGCCACAAGACCAUCGAUGCUGCUGAUAACGGUAGGCUUUGAAAGUACUUGGCAAUUCAUUUUUCACCUGAAAUGUAGACAAUUAUUAAUACGGGAUCAAAUGUGAAAUGGUCACAUUGAAAAUAUCACACAACGAGGAAAAGUCCAAUGAAAAGUUGACUACCAGUUGCUCUCUACUCAGAUUGGUUAGUAAACAAGUUUCCAUUGUUUUCCCAACAUGUUUUCAUAUUACAUCUACAGUACGUGCACUAUACAUGCAUGUAUGCCGUUUUCUUACCAGAAACAAAGAAAGCAUCAUAUGGAUAUGGGAUUUGUCCAUGUCAAUGGAAUUGUACUAAAACAGCAUAAUUUUAUUUCCGAGGUAAUUUAUGAAACCUCAAUAACAGAGGAUGUCUAAUUCUAGCUCGUUGUAAGCGUAGGUAGCUAACUUCUUUUGAGAUUUCUUGAUAUUUUGCAAGACUACAACCAUUUUAACAAAGUUCAUUACCUUAAGGUCAGAAAGAUAUACAAAUUUCCAGCCUUUGAGACUAGCUCGGACUGCUAAAUCCAUAUCCUCCACUGUUGUGCAGUCCUUCCAUCCUCCAGCGUCAUUGAGCGCUGCAAUUCUCCACACACCCGCCGUGCCUGCAUCACAUUCCCAGUGUCAUAUCAUUAUUAGGGAUACUUGAAACUUUUCUACAUAGCUCCAUUAGUAAUUUUCAAAAAAUAAAAUAAAAUUUACCAUUGAAACCAAAGAAGGCAUAAGUUGCAGACCCCACUUCUUGCUCCACCGUGAAAUGGUAAUCAAGUGUCAUCUCUUGCAUUCUUGUCAUCAAGCACUCAUCUGAAUUCACUGCAAUGCCACCAAGAAGCCAUCAUCAUCCCUUACCCUUACCCUUGUGUGUCUACAACUCUAUUUUCCUUUAUUGGAUAACCAGUAAAGACUUAUCCUCUCUCUCACAAGUUAUUUCACAAAACAAUUAAAAAUCUAAACAAAUACAAUUAAAAAUCCAUAAAACUGGAAAGCCCUGCAAUUGUGAAGUGCUCGAUUAAUCGGGAUUUGGUUCCUUGCGCAUCAAAGUAGGUAAAAUAAAAUAAAAAAAUUAUGAUGCUGUGCUAACAGCUAACUAACAUAAGUGGACUAAAACUUGUUCUGUAUCUAAGCACUAUCUCUAGAUUUCUAUAUCUUUUUUAAAGAAAAGAAGCAUUGUCAAAGAGACCCAGAAACUUAAAUCUAAAAACCAAUAAAUUCAUAGCAAGCAUUGUCACCAAAACCAAACCUAAGCACUAACGAGCUUAAUUUAAUUAAAUACCAUAAAAACAAGAAUAAUCAUUACCAAAUUUCCAGCGAGCUUGGACAAGAGCAAUGUCAGAGUUGUGGACCAGAAAUGGAAUGGUGCGGUAGAGAAAAUCAGGCUCAGGUUGGAAGUCAGCAUCAAAGAUGGCAACAUAGUCACACUGUUUGACAUAACUGUGCUUCAUGCCUUCUUUGAGAGACCCUGCUUUGAACCCAUUUCUGUCGUCUCUGAUCUCGUACUUUAUGUUUAUUCCUUUGCUUGCCCAUCUUUGGCAUUCUAGCUCCACCAAAUCCUGUAAUUUUUUUAAGGCCAAAAACCCACAUCAGAAAUUGAAAGGUUUGUUGAGUGAAUUGGGAAAGUUUUGGUCUUUAUGUGUUUCGAUGCGGAAAUUGCUGCUUUGGACUCUUGUCCCAAAAGGUCAAAGUCGCAUGGUUGACUUUGGUUGGGUUGCUUUAUGGAUUAGAGCACGUUUGGAUUGGUAAACAUGGUAAACAUUAGUGAAUGGAUUUGGAUUGGUUAAAAUUUAUCUAUGAGGUUGACCAAGAUGACUUUUUUUUAUUCUCUUUGAUAGACUAAUCAUUGAAACACUUUUAUAAGAUUUGAACCACAGACACUAAAAAAUCCUUAAACAACAUAUAAAUUAAUAUAAAAUAUUCUCUUGUCAAACAGUCUAACAUAUUAGGUGAUGGAAUUACUAAUAUCAAUGAUUGAUCAUGUUUAUUUAAAUGUCUAGUACAAAUUUACACUUUACUAGAGCAAUAUGACAUAUCGGUCUAUCAACUUUGGUUAAAGAAUAUGCAGAAGGAAAAAAAAAUCAUUAAAUUAAAUAAAUGAGUUUGAAGGAAGAACCUUAAUGGUUGGAUCUGUUGAAUCAUCAAGAACUUGAAUUAUGAUCCUAUCAGAAGGCCAGGAAAGCCCACAUGCAGCUCCAAUAGAAAGCUGAUAAACCUGCAUCAAGCAGCACAAUGCACUUCUUAAAAAACUCCAAAUACAAAUAAACUAUCUUUUCCAAAGAAAAAAGAAUCAAGUACCUCUCUUUCAUUGUACAUAGGAAUUUGCACAAGAACCAUAGGGUAAGCUGAGUUCCCAAGCUCAACAUCAUCCUUAAUGGCCUCCCAUUUCCAAUGCUUCACAGGCCUUCUUCUAAACAGCUUAAUCAAUAUUAUCAUUAUGCCCAUGUACACCUUCUCCACAAAAAGCAUCAGAGACAUGCCCAAGCACACAACCACCAAAAACUUCAGCAAUGGCACAAUCAGUGUGGCUUUGGCUUGCUGCAAAACCAACCCAAAUUGCCCUACUUGCAAUGUGUCCAUUGUAAAGAGAAAGCAAUGAAAAAACUGAUGGGACUAGAAGUGCUUUUUUUGGGUUUGGGACUAGAAGUGCUUAUUGGUUAUAUAUAGUAAAAGAACAAGCUUCUUUUUUGCUCUGUUUAGCUUUUGGUUGUAUUGGUGUGUUUGCAGUGAUUUUUGCUUCUGAGUUACUCCUAGCUAAUGCUGGAGAGCUGGAUGUACUUGUCAGUGAAUUUGGCACUCCCAUUUUUUCUUCUUAAUAUUAAAUGCUCAGUAACUGGAAUUGGCUAGUUUAGCUAUCAUUUUCUUGGAAGGUAAAACGUUGGCUAUACCUUGAAUUAGACCUCAAUUAAUCGGAUUCUGGAUUCAUUAGGGUGUGGCUCCAAAAACUAGCUAGGUUUAUUUCUUCAGAAAUUUAAAUGUUCAACAAUCAAAUCGAGGGUAAACGAGGGCUCGAUUUCGACCACACUGUUGAAGAAAAAAUGUGAACCUCCAAAUGAUGGAAACUGCGACAAGACACUUGGCUUGUGGUUCAAGGUCCGUUGCUGGUUUGUUGGUCUUAACCGGUUCAUAGAGGGAAUGAUGGAAGGCCACUGGCAGGAGCCGUCGUUUUUUUGUUGUUGCUAAGUUCUCUCAAUUUGAUGCCCUCGUACUUGAAAAUCUAGCUGGCAACUUGGUCCUUCCCUAGUUUUGGUGGCUUCUGUACGACUUGCUUUCUUGUUGGGAGAAAAGGAGGUCAAGUCAUCAUUAAUGGUGAUAAUCCUCUUCAGUCCCUCAUGUGGGCCUAGGAAACACGUUUAUCGAUUUUUUUAACCUUUAGUGUGAAAUAAAGGUCUAGGCCUCUCAAUUUUGGGUCUUCCUAUCGACUUAUUCCAAAAAAGCCCGUUAGGAGAAUGAUGGGCAUCUAAAAAAAGAGACAAGCACUAAUAGGCCUGGGUUCUCUUUAAAAAUAUUCUUUUUAGAGGAUUAGACCAUAUUUGGUCCGUUUAUCAAAACUGAGUACAAACAAAAUGAAUAAUCACUCCUUGGCCUCAGUGUUUAGCACAAACAAUUUAGCUUCAAAUUCUGCUAAUUCACCUGCCAUUAUAUUGACAAUUUUUAAAAACUAUUCAUACAAAUAACCUGUAGGCAAAGAAUUGUAAUUCCAUUUGAACAGGCGCUCCAUAGCUGGAAUAUUGGUGUUAUCUUAUUUUAUAGGAAUUUCAAUGUGUGCAGCCAUCUUCCUUUUUUUUUUCUUUUUUUAAAUUUUUUUCGUUUCAACAAAUGCCUCCUCAAGCUUUAUGCGGGAAACAACUUUUUGCGUGCAAGGCUUGACAACUUUCCUCUCUAUUUUUAAGGUCUUCAUUCAUAGAUCAUCCUUACAAAAAAUUAGACAAAUCGGAAACCGUUUCGACAUCCAAUUGUGUCUUACAAAAUCAAUUAACACAGUACUUUAAGAAAGUACUAAAAUUUCAAUAACUCAAUUGAGUGAUCAAGUGAUAUCAGAUUCAAGUGAUUUUUUAUAGAAAUGAUCUUUGAAUGAGUAUCUACAUAAUAGACAGUUUGGAAUAGUGAAAUACAAUCCGGAGUGGGGCCUACAAGGAGUGUCCCUCAAAUAAGCUUAUUUGAAGGAUCCCUCAAUGGAAACUCUCUAUAUGUAUAUAUAACUUACGUGCCCUGCACUCUUAUCCUUGAAUUUUCCUAGACUAUCCACAAAGAAAUAACUUGAUUUGAACCAUCGCUCAUCAGAAAAGAAUGACCCAUAAACAAUGAAAAACGGGUAUAACUUCCAGACGAAAAUAAAUAAUAAUUUCAUCUUUCCUUGACAGAAGGGAUGUUGAUGAAUGAAUUUUUGAAACAAUGUGUACGGCUAUGAGUUGGGGACAAAGGUGCCAACAUAACCAACCCCCGCAAUGAAGAAUGCAACAGAUUGGAUGAAUAGGUAGAUAAAGUAUCCGUUCUUUCCAAAGGCAAGGUCAUAGCAGCCGCAGAAGAAGAGGUAGAAUCCAACAAUGAGCUCAAGCAC